RNAcentral lists this ribosomal RNA (426 nucleotides) under uncultured bacterium. Its description in RNAcentral is "bacterial SSU rRNA". It matches the Rfam family "Bacterial small subunit ribosomal RNA", at positions 356 to 773 of the family's 1533-position model. The record is from RNAcentral.
GGGGAGUAUUGGACAAUGGGCGAAAGCCUGAUCCAGCCAUGCCGCGUGUGUGAAGAAGGCCUUUUGGUUGUAAAGCACUUUAAGCGAGGAGGAGGCUACUUAGAUUAAUACUCUAGGAUAGUGGACGUUACUCGCAGAAUAAGCACCGGCUAACUCUGUGCCAGCAGCCGCGGUAAUACAGAGGGUGCGAGCGUUAAUCGGAUUUACUGGGCGUAAAGCGUGCGUAGGCGGCUUUUUAAGUCGGAUGUGAAAUCCCUGAGCUUAACUUAGGAAUUGCAUUCGAUACUGGGAAGCUAGAGUAUGGGAGAGGAUGGUAGAAUUCCAGGUGUAGCGGUGAAAUGCGUAGAGAUCUGGAGGAAUACCGGUGGCGAAGGCGGCCCCCUGGACAAAGACUGACGCUCAGGUGCGAAAGCGUGGGGAGCAAAC